Molecule: non-coding RNA, 69 nt
Organism: Podarcis lilfordi (Lilford's wall lizard)
Lineage: Eukaryota; Metazoa; Chordata; Lepidosauria; Squamata; Lacertidae
Source: the annotation of a GenBank genome assembly
GGGUAGCUCAGUGGUAGAGCAUUUGCCUUGCAUGCAUAAGGUCUGCCGGUUCAAUCCCAUGUGUCUGCA